GAUACUCUUAAAACCUGCAUCUUUCAAGGCUCUGGAGAGCCUUACAGCUACAUCUUCACAAAUAAUCACAUCACAGCUACAGGACAAGGUUAGCAAGGCUGAUCUAUCCAGUGGAAGAGGAAGAAAAAGAAAAAAGUCAUGAGAAACAGCAGUAGUCAGGGGUCGUGACCUGCUAUCCACUCACAUAGACAUCACUGUUCACAUUCUAGUAUCUACAUACAGACCAUUUUUUUUUGUGCAAGGAUUGCAUUCAACCACAUAGCACUGCCUGCACACACAGGCUCUGGAUUACAAUAUCAGUGAGUG
Vidua macroura (Pin-tailed whydah) is the source of this 306-nucleotide long non-coding RNA. RefSeq lists it as uncharacterized. NCBI's taxonomy places the organism in Eukaryota, Metazoa, Chordata, Aves, Passeriformes, Viduidae. The record is from RefSeq and is a predicted model, not a curated record. The transcript is spliced from 3 exons.